This 1197-nucleotide ribosomal RNA is filed under the name uncultured eukaryote. RNAcentral describes it as "SSU rRNA". It matches the Rfam family "Eukaryotic small subunit ribosomal RNA", at positions 579 to 1819 of the family's 1831-position model. The record is from RNAcentral.
CGGUAAUUCCAGCUCCAAUAGCGUAUAUUUAAGUUGUUGCAGUUAAAAAGCUCGUAGUCGGAUUUUGGGUACGGCAGGCCGGUCCGCGUUUUGCGUGUGCACUGGCAGGCGGUAUCUUUCUGUCGAGGACGCGCUCCUGGGCUUCAUUGUCCGGGACGUGGAGUCGGCGAAGUUACUUUGAAAAAAUUAGAGUGUUCAAAGCGGGCCUACGCUUGAAUAUAUUAGCAUGGAAUAACACUAUAGGACUCCUGUCCUAUUCUGUUGGUCUUCGGGAUGGGAGUAAUGAUUAAGAGGAACAGUUGGGGGCAUUCGUAUUUCAUUGUCAGAGGUGAAAUUCUUGGAUUUAUGAAAGACGAACUUCUGCGAAAGCAUUUGCCAAGGAUGUUUUCAUUAAUCAAGAACGAAAGUUGGGGGCUCGAAGAUGAUUAGAUACCAUCCUAGUCUCAACCAUAAACGAUGCCGACUAGGGAUUGGCGGAUGUUAAUUUGAUGACUUCGCCAGCACCUUAUGAGAAAUCAAAGUCUUUGGGUUCCGGGGGGAGUAUGGUCGCAAGGCUGAAACUUAAAGGAAUUGACGGAAGGGCACCACCAGGAGUGGAGCCUGCGGCUUAAUUUGACUCAACACGGGGAAACUUACCAGGUCCAGACAUAGUAAGGAUUGACAGAUUAAGAGCUCUUUCUUGAUUCUAUGGGUGGUGGCGCAUGGCCGUUCUUAGUUGGUGGAGUGAUUUGUCUGGCUAAUCCCGUUAACGAACGAGACCUCAGCCUGCUAACUAGUCACGGUCUUGGUUUAUCCCAGGCCGGCGGACUUCUUAGAGGGACUAUUGGCGAUUAGCCAAUGGAAGUUUGAGGCAAUAACAGGUCUGUGAUGCCCUUAGAUGUUCUGGGCCGCACGCGCGCUACACUGACGGAUUCAACAAGCCCACCCUUGGCCGAAAGGUCCGGGUAAUCUUCGAAACUCCGUCGUGAUGGGGCUAGAUUAUUGCAAUUAUUAAUCUUCAACGAGGAAUUCCUAGUAAGCGCAAGUCAUCAGCUUGCGUUGAUUACGUCCCUGCCCUUUGUACACACCGCCCGUCGCUCCUACCGAUUGAAUGGUCCGGUGAAGCGUUCGGAUGGGUAAAGUGUGGCGGCNANCMCUGCCUUCGCCCAGAAGUUCGUUAAACCUUAUCAUUUAGAGGAAGGAGAAGUCGUAACAAGG